GGAAGUAAAAAUCGUAACAAGGUCUCCGUAGGUGAACCUGCGGAGGGAUCAUUAGAAUAACUUUCUUCAACAGAGAGAGCGUGGUUUACACCGUGUCUCUUUUACUUUUAAACAAAACGAACAUUGACAAAUCCUAACCGAUAACAAUGACUUUCAAAACAAAACAAACAAAACAAAACAACAAAACACGACUCGCAACAACGGAUAUCUUGGUUCUC
Molecule: unclassified non-coding RNA, 218 nt
Filed under: plant metagenome
Description: partial contains small subunit ribosomal RNA and internal transcribed spacer 1
Rfam family: Eukaryotic small subunit ribosomal RNA (bases 1-54)
Source: RNAcentral